This 629-nucleotide ribosomal RNA is filed under the name uncultured Paenibacillus sp. RNAcentral's name for it is "bacterial SSU rRNA". It matches the Rfam family "Bacterial small subunit ribosomal RNA", at positions 8 to 616 of the family's 1533-position model. The record is from RNAcentral. Lineage: Bacteria; Bacillati; Bacillota; Bacilli; Caryophanales; Paenibacillaceae.
AGGGUUUGAUCAUGGCUCAGGACGAACGCUGGCGGCGUGCCUAAUACAUGCAAGUCGAGCGGACUUGAUGGAGUGCUUGCACUCCUGAUGGUUAGCGGCGGACGGGUGAGUAACACGUAGGCAACCUGCCCGUAAGACUGGGAUAACUACCAGAAACGGUAGCUAAUACCGGAUAAUUUAUUUCGCCGCAUGGUGAAAUAAUGAAAGGCGGAGCAAUCUGUCACUUACGGAUGGGCCUGCGGCGCAUUAGCUAGUUGGUGGGGUAACGGCUCACCAAGGCGACGAUGCGUAGCCGACCUGAGAGGGUGAACGGCCACACUGGGACUGAGACACGGCCCAGACUCCUACGGGAGGCAGCAGUAGGGAAUCUUCCGCAAUGGACGAAAGUCUGACGGAGCAACGCCGCGUGAGUGAUGAAGGUUUUCGGAUCGUAAAGCUCUGUUGCCAGGGAAGAACGUCCGUUAGAGUAACUGCUAACGGAGUGACGGUACCUGAGAAGAAAGCCCCGGCUAACUACGUGCCAGCAGCCGCGGUAAUACGUAGGGGGCAAGCGUUGUCCGGAAUUAUUGGGCGUAAAGCGCGCGCAGGCGGCUAUUUAAGUCUGGUGUUUAAUCCUGGGGCUCAACUCC